RNAcentral lists this ribosomal RNA (574 nucleotides) under uncultured Ochromonas. Its description in RNAcentral is "bacterial SSU rRNA". It matches the Rfam family "Bacterial small subunit ribosomal RNA", at positions 93 to 661 of the family's 1533-position model. Lineage: Eukaryota; Chrysophyceae; Chromulinales; Chromulinaceae. The record is from RNAcentral.
GCAUGGCGAACGGGUGAGUAAUACAUAAGAAUCUGCUUCAUAGUUUUGGGAUAAUUGUAUUAAGAAAUUAAGAAUGCUUUGCAGCAAAAAUACCAGAUAUAUCGAAAGGCAUAAAGCCGCUAUGAAAUGAGCUUAUGCAGGAUUAGGUAGUUGGUGCAGUAAAGGUGCACCAAGCCGAUGAUCCUUAGCUGUUCUGAGAGGAUGAUCAGCCACACUGGGACUGAGAUAAGGCCCAGGCUUUUUAGCCAGCAGUGAGGAAUCUUGGACAAUGAGCGAAAGCUUGAUCCAGUAAUACUGCGUGAAUGAAGACGGCAAAAAAGACUUUUAAGAUGUUCGCAUUUUUUAGGUCGGUCGUAAAGUUCUUUCACUGAUGAAGAUAAUGACAUUAGUCAGAAAAGAAGCUCCGGCUAACUUCGUGCCAGCAGCCGCGGUAAUACGAAGGGGGCGAGCGUUAUCCGGAAUUAUUGGGCGUAAAGAGUCCGUAGACGGUAUUUGUUGUUGUUUGUUAAAGACUAGGUUUGUUACUUAUUAUAAUGCAUACAAUACACUAAUGCUAGAGUUUGAUUGGGGAUAA